RNAcentral lists this ribosomal RNA (553 nucleotides) under Trigonopterus sepuluh. RNAcentral describes it as "partial 16S ribosomal RNA". Lineage: Eukaryota; Metazoa; Arthropoda; Insecta; Coleoptera; Curculionidae. The record is from RNAcentral.
CCGACCUGGCUCACACCGGUCUAAACUCAGAUCAUGUAAAAUUUUAAAGGUCGAACAGACCUAAUAUACUAGCUACUACACCAAUAAUUAAUUUUAAUCCAACAUCGAGGUCGCAAUCAAUCUUUUCGAUAAGAACUCUAAAGAAAAUCACGCUGUUAUCCCUAAGGUAAUUUAUUCUUACAAUCUAAACCAAGGAUCGCAAACCUACACAUUAAUAAACUAUACUAAAAAAAGUUAAUUUAAUUUCUCCGUCACCCCAACCAAACAAGCCUGAACUAGUUAAACUUAACUAUACCUAAUUUUCAAUUUAACCAACCUCCUGUAAAACUCUAUAGGGUCUUCUCGUCUUCCAUUCAAAUUUAAGCUUUUUCACUCAAAAAUAAAAUUUUAAUAAACUUCUUUAGAGACAGUCACUCUUUCAUAAAACCAUUCAUUCCAGCUCUCAAUUAAAAAACUAAUGAUUAUGCUACCUUUGCACGGUCAAUAUACCGCGGCCUUUUAACACCUCAGCGGGCAGGUAAGACUUGAAAUAAAUAUCAACAAGCCAUGUUUU